GCCAGGCGUGGUGGCACAUGCCUUUAAUCCCAGCACUCGGGAGGCAGAGGUAGGGGGAUCGCCGUGAAUUCGAGACCACCCUGAGACUACAGAGUGAAUUCCAGGUCAGCCUGGAUUAGAGUGAAACCCUACCUCGAAAAAACAAAUUAUUUAGUUUUGUUUUUUUGAGGUAGCAUCUCACUCUUAACUCAUGCUGACCUGGAACUCACUCUGUAGUCUCAGGGUGGCCUUGAACUCACAGCGAUCCUCCUACCUCU
Molecule: small RNA, 257 nt
Filed under: Jaculus jaculus (lesser Egyptian jerboa)
Lineage: Eukaryota; Metazoa; Chordata; Mammalia; Rodentia; Dipodidae
Description: Metazoan signal recognition particle RNA (ENSJJAG00000005761.1)
Source: RNAcentral